GGGUUGUGAGGUUAAGCGACUAAGCGUACACGGUGGAUGCCCUGGCAGUCAGAGGCGAUGAAGGACGUGCUAAUCUGCGAAAAGCGUCGGUAAGGUGAUAUGAACCGUUAUAACCGGCGAUGUCCGAAUGGGGAAACCCAGUGUGAUUCGUCACACUAUCGUUAACUGAAUACAUAGGUUAACGAGGCGAACCGGGGGAACUGAAACAUCUAAGUACCCCGAGGAAAAGAAAUCAACCGAGAUUCCCCCAGUAGCGGCGAGCGAACGGGGAGCAGCCCAGAGUCUGAAUCAGCUUGUGUGUUAGUGGAACGGUCUGGAAAGUCCGACGGUACAGGGUGAUAGUCCCGUACACCAAAAUGCACAGGCUGUGAACUCGAGAGUAGGGCGGGACACGUGGUAUCCUGUCUGAAUAUGGGGGGACCAUCCUCCAAGGCUAAAUACUCCUGACUGACCGAUAGUGAACCAGUACCGUGAGGGAAAGGCGAAAAGAACCCCGGCGAGGGGAGUGAAAAAGAACCUGAAACCGUGUACGUACAAGCAGUGGGAGCACCUUCGGGUGUGACUGCGUACCUUUUGUAUAAUGGGUCAGCGACUUAUAUUCUGUAGCAAGGUUAACCGUAUAGGGGAGCCGCAGGGAAACCGAGUCUUAACUGGGCGUUAAGUUGCAGGGUAUAGACCCGAAACCCGGUGAUCUAGCCAUGGGCAGGUUGAAGGUUGGGUAACACUAACUGGAGGACCGAACCGACUAAUGUUGAAAAAUUAGCGGAUGACUUGUGGCUGGGGGUGAAAGGCCAAUCAAACCGGGAGAUAGCUGGUUCUCCCCGAAAGCUAUUUAGGUAGCGCCUCGUGAACUCAUCUUCGGGGGUAGAGCACUGUUUCGGCUAGGGGGUCAUCCCGACUUACCAACCCGAUGCAAACUACGAAUACCGAAGAAUGUUAUCACGGGAGACACACGGCGGGUGCUAACGUCCGUCGUGAAGAGGGAAACAACCCAGACCGCCAGCUAAGGUCCCAAAGUCAUGGUUAAGUGGGAAACGAUGUGGGAAGGCACAGACAGCCAGGAUGUUGGCUUAGAAGCAGCCAUCAUUUAAAGAAAGCGUAAUAGCUCACUGGUCGAGUCGGCCUGCGCGGAAGAUGUAACGGGGCUAAACCAUGCACCGAAGCUGCGGCAGCGACACUAUGUGUUGUUGGGUAGGGGAGCGUUCUGUAAGCCUGCGAAGGUGACCUGUGAGGGUUGCUGGAGGUAUCAGAAGUGCGAAUGCUGACAUAAGUAACGAUAAAGCGGGUGAAAAGCCCGCUCGCCGGAAGACCAAGGGUUCCUGUCCAACGUUAAUCGGGGCAGGGUGAGUCGACCCCUAAGGCGAGGCCGAAAGGCGUAGUCGAUGGGAAACAGGUUAAUAUUCCUGUACUUGGUGUUACUGCGAAGGGGGGACGGAGAAGGCUAUGUUAGCCGGGCGACGGUUGUCCCGGUUUAAGCAUGUAGGCUGGUUAUCCAGGCAAAUCCGGAUAAUCAAGGCUGAGGUGUGAUGACGAGGCACUACGGUGCUGAAGUAACAAAUGCCCUGCUUCCAGGAAAAGCCUCUAAGCAUCAGGUAACAUCAAAUCGUACCCCAAACCGACACAGGUGGUCAGGUAGAGAAUACCAAGGCGCUUGAGAGAACUCGGGUGAAGGAACUAGGCAAAAUGGUGCCGUAACUUCGGGAGAAGGCACGCUGGUGUGUAGGUGAAGCCCCUGCGGGUGGAGCUGAGACCAGUCGAAGAUACCAGCUGGCUGCAACUGUUUAUUAAAAACACAGCACUGUGCAAACACGAAAGUGGACGUAUACGGUGUGACGCCUGCCCGGUGCCGGAAGGUUAAUUGAUGGGGUUAUCCGUAAGGAGAAGCUCUUGAUCGAAGCCCCGGUAAACGGCGGCCGUAACUAUAACGGUCCUAAGGUAGCGAAAUUCCUUGUCGGGUAAGUUCCGACCUGCACGAAUGGCGUAAUGAUGGCCAGGCUGUCUCCACCCGAGACUCAGUGAAAUUGAACUCGCUGUGAAGAUGCAGUGUACCCGCGGCAAGACGGAAAGACCCCGUGAACCUUUACUAUAGCUUGACACUGAACAUUGAGCCUUGAUGUGUAGGAUAGGUGGGAGGCUUUGAAGCGUGGACGCCAGUCUGCGUGGAGCCAACCUUGAAAUACCACCCUUUAAUGUUUGAUGUUCUAACGUUGGCCCCUUACCGGGGUUGCGGACAGUGUCUGGUGGGUAGUUUGACUGGGGCGGUCUCCUCCCAAAGCGUAACGGAGGAGCACGAAGGUUAGCUAAUCCUGGUCGGACAUCAGGAGGUUAGUGCAAUGGCAUAAGCUAGCUUGACUGCGAGCGUGACGGCGCGAGCAGGUGCGAAAGCAGGUCAUAGUGAUCCGGUGGUUCUGAAUGGAAGGGCCAUCGCUCAACGGAUAAAAGGUACUCCGGGGAUAACAGGCUGAUACCGCCCAAGAGUUCAUAUCGACGGCGGUGUUUGGCACCUCGAUGUCGGCUCAUCACAUCCUGGGGCUGAAGUAGGUCCCAAGGGUAUGGCUGUUCGCCAUUUAAAGUGGUACGCGAGCUGGGUUUAGAACGUCGUGAGACAGUUCGGUCCCUAUCUGCCGUGGGCGCUGGAGAAUUGAGGGGGGCUGCUCCUAGUACGAGAGGACCGGAGUGGACGCAUCACUGGUGUUCGGGUUGUCAUGCCAAUGGCACUGCCCGGUAGCUAAAUGCGGAAGAGAUAAGUGCUGAAAGCAUCUAAGCACGAAACUUGCCCCGAGAUGAGUUCUCCCUGAGACUUUAAGUCUCCUGAAGGAACGUUGAAGACGACGACGUUGAUAGGCCGGGUGUGUAAGCGCAGCGAUGCGUUGAGCUAACCGGUACUAAUGAACCGUGAGGCUUAACCUUACAACGCCGAAG
This 2922-nucleotide ribosomal RNA is filed under the name Klebsiella pneumoniae. RNAcentral describes it as "23S ribosomal RNA". It matches the Rfam family "Bacterial large subunit ribosomal RNA". The record is from RNAcentral. Lineage: Bacteria; Pseudomonadati; Pseudomonadota; Gammaproteobacteria; Enterobacterales; Enterobacteriaceae.